GAAACGCAUGGCACGCACCGGGCCGGUGUGCCCGGUCAGCGGCAGGGCGGCGGGCGUUCGGGUCGCCGUGUCCCAC
Molecule: transfer RNA, 76 nt
Filed under: Actinoplanes utahensis
Lineage: Bacteria; Bacillati; Actinomycetota; Actinomycetes; Micromonosporales; Micromonosporaceae
Description: tRNA-Ala
Source: RNAcentral